RNAcentral lists this ribosomal RNA (492 nucleotides) under uncultured bacterium. RNAcentral's name for it is "partial 16S ribosomal RNA". It matches the Rfam family "Bacterial small subunit ribosomal RNA", at positions 29 to 507 of the family's 1533-position model. The record is from RNAcentral.
AGUGAACGCUGGCGGUAGGCCUAAUACAUGCAAGUCGAACGGCCGCACAGUAAGCGCUUGCCCUUACGGGUGGCGAGUGGCGGACGGGUGAGGAAUAGAUCGGCAUCUACUUUUUCGUGGAGGAUCACGUAGGGCCACUUACGCUAAUACCGCAUACGAUCUACGGGUGAAAGCAGGGGAUCUUCGGACCUUGCGCGUCUCAUUGAGAUGAUGUCGGACUACAUUGUCGGCGGGGUAAAGGACCACCAAGCCGACGGUACGUAGCUCGUCUGAGCGGAUGGUCAGCCACACUUGAACUUGGGCACGGGCCAGACUCCUACGGGAGGCAGGAGGGGGGAAUAUUGGAGAAUGGGCGCAAGCCUGAUCCAGCCAUACCGCGUGGGUGAAGAAAGCCUUCGGGUUGUAAAGCCCUUGUGUUGGGGAAGAAAAGCAUCAGGUUAAUACCCCGCUGGUCUGGAGGUACCCAAAGAAUAAAGACCCGCUAACUUCGUG